AACGAACACUGGCGGCGUGCCUAACACAUGCAAGUCGUGCGAGAAAGUUCCUUCGGGAGCGAGUAAAGCGGCGCACGGGUGAGUAACACGUAGGUAACCUGCCCCCCAGUCUGGAACAACUAGAGGAAACUCUAGCUAAUGCCGGAUGAGACCACGAUCCCUUCGGGGGUUGCGGCCAAAGAUGGCCUCUACUUGUAAGCUAUCGCUGAGGGAUGGGCCUGCGGGCCAUUAGCUUGUUGGUGAGGUAACGGCUCACCAAGGCUGUGAUGGCUAGCUGGUCUGAGAGGAUGACCAGCCACACUGGGACUGAGACACGGCCCAGACUCCUACGGGAGGCAGCAGUGGGGAAUAUUGCGCAAUGGGCGAAAGCCUGACGCAGCGACGCCGACGUGGGUGA
This 397-nucleotide ribosomal RNA is filed under the name uncultured bacterium. RNAcentral's name for it is "bacterial SSU rRNA". It matches the Rfam family "Bacterial small subunit ribosomal RNA", at positions 29 to 408 of the family's 1533-position model. The record is from RNAcentral.